RNAcentral lists this ribosomal RNA (1100 nucleotides) under Microbacterium sp. IK1_38. RNAcentral's name for it is "bacterial SSU rRNA". It matches the Rfam family "Bacterial small subunit ribosomal RNA", at positions 28 to 1140 of the family's 1533-position model. Lineage: Bacteria; Bacillati; Actinomycetota; Actinomycetes; Micrococcales; Microbacteriaceae. The record is from RNAcentral.
GAUGAACGCUGGCGGCGUGCUUAACACAUGCAAGUCGAACGGUGAAGCCAAGCUUGCUUGGUGGAUCAGUGGCGAACGGGUGAGUAACACGUGAGCAACCUGCCCUGGACUCUGGGAUAAGCGCUGGAAACGGUGUCUAAUACUGGAUAUGAGACGUGAUCGCAUGGUCGUGUUUGGAAAGAUUUUUCGGUCUGGGAUGGGCUCGCGGCCUAUCAGCUUGUUGGUGAGGUAAUGGCUCACCAAGGCGUCGACGGGUAGCCGGCCUGAGAGGGUGACCGGCCACACUGGGACUGAGACACGGCCCAGACUCCUACGGGAGGCAGCAGUGGGGAAUAUUGCACAAUGGGCGAAAGCCUGAUGCAGCAACGCCGCGUGAGGGAUGACGGCCUUCGGGUUGUAAACCUCUUUUAGCAGGGAAGAAGCGAAAGUGACGGUACCUGCAGAAAAAGCGCCGGCUAACUACGUGCCAGCAGCCGCGGUAAUACGUAGGGCGCAAGCGUUAUCCGGAAUUAUUGGGCGUAAAGAGCUCGUAGGCGGUUUGUCGCGUCUGCUGUGAAAUCCCGAGGCUCAACCUCGGGCCUGCAGUGGGUACGGGCAGACUAGAGUGCGGUAGGGGAGAUUGGAAUUCCUGGUGUAGCGGUGGAAUGCGCAGAUAUCAGGAGGAACACCGAUGGCGAAGGCAGAUCUCUGGGCCGUAACUGACGCUGAGGAGCGAAAGGGUGGGGAGCAAACAGGCUUAGAUACCCUGGUAGUCCACCCCGUAAACGUUGGGAACUAGUUGUGGGGACCAUUCCACGGUUUCCGUGACGCAGCUAACGCAUUAAGUUCCCCGCCUGGGGAGUACGGCCGCAAGGCUAAAACUCAAAGGAAUUGACGGGGACCCGCACAAGCGGCGGAGCAUGCGGAUUAAUUCGAUGCAACGCGAAGAACCUUACCAAGGCUUGACAUAUACGAGAACGGGCCAGAAAUGGUCAACUCUUUGGACACUCGUAAACAGGUGGUGCAUGGUUGUCGUCAGCUCGUGUCGUGAGAUGUUGGGUUAAGUCCCGCAACGAGCGCAACCCUCGUUCUAUGUUGCCAGCACGUAAUGGUGGGAACUC